Molecule: RNase P RNA, 395 nt
Filed under: Siphonobacter sp. SORGH_AS_0500
Lineage: Bacteria; Pseudomonadati; Bacteroidota; Cytophagia; Cytophagales; Cytophagaceae
Description: Bacterial RNase P class A
Rfam family: Bacterial RNase P class A
About the family: Ribonuclease P (RNase P) is a ubiquitous endoribonuclease, found in archaea, bacteria and eukarya as well as chloroplasts and mitochondria. Its best characterised activity is the generation of mature 5'-ends of tRNAs by cleaving the 5'-leader elements of precursor-tRNAs.
Source: Rfam by way of RNAcentral
GCAGCAAGCCAUCUUAUCGCUUCCUUUUUAACCGAAGGAAGAGGAAAGUCCGGGCAGCGUAGAGCACCGUGCUACCUAACGGGUAGGCAGUUAACUGGCGACGGUUAACUGACAGCUAGUACCACAGAAAAGAUACCGCUUUUCUUCGGAAGAGUAAGGGUGAAAAGGUAGGGUAAGAGCCUACCGCUCCUUUGGUGACAAAGGAGGCAGGGCAAACCUCACGGGCUGAAAGACCAAAUAAACCAGUGGUACCCGCAAGGGUCGAAGGGCUGCUCGUCCGGUGCUGGUGGGUAGGUCGUUAGAGGCGUCGGGUGACUGGCGUCCUAGAUAAAUGAUAAGACGUUUUUGUGUAACAGCAAAGAUGACAGAACCCGGCUUAUCGGCUUGUUUUUUUC